ACGAACGCUGGCGGCAUGCCUAACACAUGCAAGUCGAACGAGACCUUCGGGUCUAGUGGCGCACGGGUGCGUAACGCGUGGGAACCUGCCCUUAGGUUCGGAAUAACUCCCCGAAAGGGGUGCUAAUACCGGAUAAUGUCUUCGGACCAAAGAUUUAUCGCCUUUGGAUGGGCCCGCGUUGGAUUAGCUAGUUGGUGGGGUAAAAGCCUACCAAGGCGACGAUCCAUAGCUGGUCUGAGAGGAUGAUCAGCCACACUGGGACUGAGACACGGCCCAGACUCCUACGGGAGGCAGCAGUGGGGAAUAUUGGACAAUGGGCGAAAGCCUGAUCCAGCAAUGCCGCGUGAGUGAUGAAGGCCUUAGGGUUGUAAAGCUCUUUUACCCGGGAUGAUAAUGACAGUACCGGGAGAAUAAGCUCCGGCUAACUCCGUG
This 432-nucleotide ribosomal RNA is filed under the name uncultured bacterium. RNAcentral's name for it is "partial 16S ribosomal RNA". It matches the Rfam family "Bacterial small subunit ribosomal RNA", at positions 29 to 507 of the family's 1533-position model. The record is from RNAcentral.